Molecule: unclassified non-coding RNA, 306 nt
Filed under: air metagenome
Description: partial contains small subunit ribosomal RNA, internal transcribed spacer 1, and 5.8S ribosomal RNA
Rfam family: Eukaryotic small subunit ribosomal RNA (bases 1-46)
Source: RNAcentral
AAGUCGUAACAAGGUUUCCGUAGGUGAACCUGCGGAAGGAUCAUUAUUGAAUACGCUUGAGUGCUGAUGCUGGCCUUUCGAGGCAUGUGCUCGCAUUCAGACUAUUUAUCUUCACUUGUGCACCUUUUGUAGUCUUUGAAGCUGUCUCCGCUGCAAAUGCGGGUUAUUGGGAGGGGCUUAGGCCCUUCCUGGGCUUCAGAGACUAUGUUUUCAUAUAACCCUUAUUAAAGUCACAGAAUGUCAUUUUUAAAGGCUUCACGGCCAUUAAACCUAAUACAACUUUCAACAACGGAUCUCUUGGCUCUC